This 216-nucleotide long non-coding RNA is filed under the name Lathyrus oleraceus (garden pea). RNAcentral describes it as "Pisum sativum (pea) long non-coding RNA (PSAT_LNC027805)". Lineage: Eukaryota; Viridiplantae; Streptophyta; Magnoliopsida; Fabales; Fabaceae. The record is from RNAcentral.
UUCAUCUCCUACGGCUACCUCUUCAUUUCUUCAAUGAUUAUCAUACGUGUUCUUUUUGACCCUUGGUAAAUCCUUUUUUCUCAUCUCAUUGUUGUUAAUGUUGGUUUUUAUUGAAGUGGUCUCUGGGGGUUUCUUUUCCCUUGGAUUAUAGGUCAUCUCAUUAUUAUUGUCGGAGUAGGUUACCUUCCUGUUGAGAGGUAUAGAAACAUCCUUAUU